Quercus lobata is the source of this 377-nucleotide long non-coding RNA. RefSeq lists it as uncharacterized. NCBI's taxonomy places the organism in Eukaryota, Viridiplantae, Streptophyta, Magnoliopsida, Fagales, Fagaceae. The record is from RefSeq and is a predicted model, not a curated record. The transcript is spliced from 3 exons.
UCCAAAGGUAUUAUUUGUUUGAAGGAAUCAAAUUGUUCCAAAUUCAUCUUUUGCUUAUUUAGUGAAUUUGUUUCAUGCCUUUUAUUGCAGAUAGUUGAAGAAGCUGGUGGCACAGUUACUCGCAUGGAUGGUGGAAAGUUCUGUGUGUUUGAUAGAUCUAUUUUAGUAUCCAAUGGUGCACUGCAUGAAAAGCUUUUGGAGAGAAUUGGACCUGCAACAGAGAAAUUGAAGAGCAAAGGAAUUGAUUUCUCAUUGUGGUACAAGCCUGAAAGUUUGCAUGCAGAUCUUUGAGAUGGCCAGAUUUCUGUUUGCUUAUUACGGACUCUGCUAAAAAAAAUUGCUGCAGCUCAGAGCCAUGGAUCUGCAAGCAAUCCACA